CAUCAGAUGACUGAAAGUAAGUAAUGGUCUCUUAAACCAGUAUAUAGUAAUUAACAUCUACUUCUGAUGAAGAAAUUAGUUAAUUUAU
RNAcentral lists this transfer RNA (88 nucleotides) under Diestramima tibetensis. RNAcentral describes it as "tRNA-Lys". The record is from RNAcentral. Lineage: Eukaryota; Metazoa; Arthropoda; Insecta; Orthoptera; Rhaphidophoridae.